RNAcentral lists this transfer RNA (68 nucleotides) under Bithynia leachii. Its description in RNAcentral is "tRNA-Glu". It matches the Rfam family "tRNA". From Rfam's summary of the family: Transfer RNA (tRNA) molecules are approximately 80 nucleotides in length. Their secondary structure includes four short double-helical elements and three loops (D, anti-codon, and T loops). Further hydrogen bonds mediate the characteristic L-shaped molecular structure. tRNAs have two regions of fundamental functional importance: the anti-codon, which is responsible for specific mRNA codon recognition, and the 3' end, to which the tRNAs corresponding amino acid is attached (by aminoacyl-tRNA synthetases). tRNAs cope with the degeneracy of the genetic code in two manners: having more than one tRNA (with a specific anti-codon) for a particular amino acid; and 'wobble' base-pairing, i.e. permitting non-standard base-pairing at the 3rd anti-codon position. The record is from RNAcentral. Lineage: Eukaryota; Metazoa; Mollusca; Gastropoda; Littorinimorpha; Bithyniidae.
AUUUUUGUGGUGUAAAAGCACGUUAGGUUUUCAUCCUAAAAGAGUAAGUAUCGAUGUUACCAGAAAUA